This 497-nucleotide ribosomal RNA is filed under the name uncultured bacterium. RNAcentral describes it as "partial 16S ribosomal RNA". It matches the Rfam family "Bacterial small subunit ribosomal RNA", at positions 28 to 507 of the family's 1533-position model. The record is from RNAcentral.
GAUGAACGCUGGCGGCGUGCCUAAUACAUGCAAGUCGAGCGAACAGACGAGGAGCUUGCUCCUCUGACGUUAGCGGCGGACGGGUGAGUAACACGUGGAUAACCUACCUAUAAGACUGGGAUAACUUCGGGAAACCGGAGCUAAUACCGGAUAAUAUAUUGAACCGCAUGGUUCAAUCGUGAAAGAAGGUUUUGCUGUCACUAAUAGAUGGAUCCGCGCCGCAUUAGCUAGUUGGUAAGGUAACGGCUUACCAAGGCAACGAUGCGUAGCCGACCUGAGAGGGUGAUCGGCCACACUGGAACUGAGACACGGUCCAGACUCCGACGGGAGGCAGCAGUAGGGAAUCUUCCGCAAUGGGCGAAAGCCUGACGGAGCAACGCCGCGUGAGUGAUGAAGGUCUUCGGAUCGUAAAACUCUGUUAUUAGGGAAGAACAAAUGUGUAAGUAACUAUGCACGUCUUGACGGUACCUAAUCAGAAAGCCACGGCUAACUACGUG